GUCUACGGCCAUACCACCCUGAACACACCCAAUCUCAUCUGAUCUUGGACGCUAAGCAGGGUCGGGACUGGUUAAUACUUUGAUGGGAGAGAAUAUUUCAUGAAAGGGUGGGAGCUAGAGAUGUAACUC
This 129-nucleotide ribosomal RNA is filed under the name Octodon degus (degu). Lineage: Eukaryota; Metazoa; Chordata; Mammalia; Rodentia; Octodontidae. The record is from RNAcentral.